This 71-nucleotide transfer RNA is filed under the name Patescibacteria group bacterium. RNAcentral's name for it is "tRNA-Ala". It matches the Rfam family "tRNA". From Rfam's summary of the family: Transfer RNA (tRNA) molecules are approximately 80 nucleotides in length. Their secondary structure includes four short double-helical elements and three loops (D, anti-codon, and T loops). The record is from RNAcentral.
GGGCCCAUAGUAAAAUGGUAUUACGCCUCCAUGGCAUGGAGGAGGUAGGAGUCCGAUUCUCCUUGGGUCCA